GUCGUUCAACACCUGCAAUGACCAGACAAGAAGAGACUAGCAGUGCCUCAGAAGCUUCACCGCAAGCUUCAUCCAGCAAGAUUAGUAGUCCAGAGCAGUCUCAAAACUCCGCUGCUCCAGAUACACCGUCUAAGAAGCUGAUUUUACCUCCACCUACUACUUCUCCAACACAUCAGUCUCAACAUCCCAUGAUCACUAGAUCAAAAGCGGGAAUAACAAAGCCGAAUCCUCGUUAUGUUCUUUUCACUGUCACUACCACUCCUGCAACUCCUA
This 273-nucleotide long non-coding RNA is filed under the name Brassica napus (rape). RNAcentral describes it as "long non-coding RNA (BNAP_LNC026902)". Lineage: Eukaryota; Viridiplantae; Streptophyta; Magnoliopsida; Brassicales; Brassicaceae. The record is from RNAcentral.